This 465-nucleotide ribosomal RNA is filed under the name Vreelandella stevensii. RNAcentral's name for it is "partial 16S ribosomal RNA". It matches the Rfam family "Bacterial small subunit ribosomal RNA", at positions 338 to 795 of the family's 1533-position model. Lineage: Bacteria; Pseudomonadati; Pseudomonadota; Gammaproteobacteria; Oceanospirillales; Halomonadaceae. The record is from RNAcentral.
CCUACGGGCGGCAGCAGUGGGGAAUAUUGGACAAUGGGGGCAACCCUGAUCCAGCCAUGCCGCGUGUGUGAAGAAGGCCCUCGGGUUGUAAAGCACUUUCAGUGAGGAAGAACGCCUGGUGGUUAAUACCCAUCAGGAAAGACAUCACUCACAGAAGAAGCACCGGCUAACUCCGUGCCAGCAGCCGCGGUAAUACGGAGGGUGCGAGCGUUAAUCGGAAUUACUGGGCGUAAAGCGCGCGUAGGUGGCUGGAUAAGCCGGUUGUGAAAGCCCCGGGCUCAACCUGGGAACGGCAUCCGGAACUGUCAAGCUAGAGUGCAGGAGAGGAAGGUAGAAUUCCCGGUGUAGCGGUGAAAUGCGUAGAGAUCGGGAGGAAUACCAGUGGCGAAGGCGGCCUUCUGGACUGACACUGACACUGAGGUGCGAAAGCGUGGGUAGCAAACAGGAUUAGAUACCCCUGUAGUC